Molecule: ribosomal RNA, 396 nt
Filed under: Chrysochromulina parva
Lineage: Eukaryota; Haptophyta; Prymnesiales; Chrysochromulinaceae
Description: partial small subunit ribosomal RNA
Rfam family: Eukaryotic small subunit ribosomal RNA
Source: RNAcentral
GCUUGUCUCAAAGAUUAAGCCAUGCAUGUCUAAGUAUAACUCUUUUACUUUGAAAACUGCGAACGGCUCAUUAUAUCAGUUAUAGUUUCUUUGAUAGUCCCUUACUACUUGGAUACCCGUAGUAAUUCUAGAGCUAAUACAUGCAGGAAGACCCGACUCACGAAGGGUUGUAUUUAUUAGAUAAGAAACCUUCCCCUUUGGGUUGCGUGCCGAGUCACAAUAACUGCUCGAAUCGCAUGGCUUCACGCCGGCGAUGGUUCAUUCAAAUUUCUGCCCUAUCAGCUUUCGAUGGUAGGAUCGAGGCCUACCAUGGCGUUUACGGGUAACGGAGAAUUAGGGUUCGAUUCCGGAGAGGGAGCCUGAGAGAUGGCUACCACAUCCAAGGAAGGCAGCAGG